GACAUGUACGGAAUCCUUUAGAGAUAGAGGAGUGCUCGAAAGAGAGCCGUAACACAGGUGCUGCAUGGCUGUCGUCAGCUCGUGUCGUGAGAUGUUGGGUUAAGUCCCGCAACGAGCGCAACCCUUGUCAUUAGUUGCUACAUUCAGUUGGGCACUCUAAUGAGACUGCCGGUGACAAACCGGAGGAAGGUGGGGAUGACGUCAAGUCCUCAUGGCCCUUAUAGGUGGGGCUACACACGUCAUACAAUGGAUGGUACAAAGGGUCGCCAACCCGCGAGGGGGAGCCCAAUCCCAUAAAGCCAUUCGUAGUCCGGAUCGCAGUCUGCAACUCGACUGCGUGAAGUCGGAAUCGCUAGUAAUCGUGGAUCAGAAUGUCACGGUGAAUACGUUCCCGGGUCUU
This 400-nucleotide ribosomal RNA is filed under the name uncultured Acidovorax sp. Its description in RNAcentral is "bacterial SSU rRNA". It matches the Rfam family "Bacterial small subunit ribosomal RNA", at positions 983 to 1382 of the family's 1533-position model. The record is from RNAcentral. Lineage: Bacteria; Pseudomonadati; Pseudomonadota; Betaproteobacteria; Burkholderiales; Comamonadaceae.